CUACCGUCCCCGGUAUAUCUCGAAUGUGGAUAUUAUUGCGGCGUGCGCGGUCCUCAUUGUCCGCAAGUUUUGUUUCCAGUUGAUCAAGCUUAACCACCAUGCCGUCCAUUUUACCCGCCAUGGUGUUAUGGGCCUCCUCCAGCUCUGCCAGUUUGUCCUCUGUGGUGGAGGUCCUGGCGCCCAUAUAUUGUAGGUCUUGGCGGAGGUCGGUUAGUGCUGCGUGGAAGUUUGUUAGUAGCUUGGCUGACAUGUCAUCCAGCAUUUGCUAUAGCAGGGUUUUUAUCAGGGUCGGGGCCUGGUCGGCUGUAUCGCCG
Non-coding RNA from Pelobates cultripes (western spadefoot toad), 314 nucleotides. NCBI's taxonomy places the organism in Eukaryota, Metazoa, Chordata, Amphibia, Anura, Pelobatidae. The record is from the annotation of a GenBank genome assembly.